AUUGAACGCUGGCGGCAUGCCUUACACAUGCAAGUCGAACGGCAGCACGGGUGCUUGCACCUGGCGGCGAGUGGCGAACGGGUGAGUAAUACAUCGGAACGUACCUUAUCGUGGGGGAUAACGCAGCGAAAGCUGUGCUAAUACCGCAUACGCCCUGAGGGGGAAAGCGGGGGAUCGCAAGACCUCGCGCGAUUAGAGCGGCCGAUGCCUGAUUAGCUUGUUGGUGGGGUAAAAGCCCACCAAGGCGACGAUCAGUAGCUGGUCUGAGAGGAGGAUCAGCCACACUGGGAGUGAGACACGGCACAGACUGCGACGGGAGGCAGCAGUGGGGAGUUUUGGACAAUGGGGGCAAACCUGGUCCAGCAAUGCCGCGUGGGUGAAGAAGGCCUUCGGGUUGUAAAGCUCUUUUGUCAGGGAAGAAACACCGGCUCUAACACAGUCCGGGAAUGACGGUACCUGAAGAAUAAGCACCGGCUAACUACGUGCCAGCCGCCGCGGUAA
Molecule: ribosomal RNA, 501 nt
Filed under: uncultured bacterium
Lineage: Bacteria
Description: partial 16S ribosomal RNA
Rfam family: Bacterial small subunit ribosomal RNA
Source: RNAcentral